GGCUCGGUAGCUUAGUUGGUAAAGCGCUCGUUUAGCAUACAAGAAUCCUGGGUUCAAAUCCCAGCCGAGCAC
RNAcentral lists this transfer RNA (72 nucleotides) under Aedes aegypti (yellow fever mosquito). It matches the Rfam family "tRNA". From Rfam's summary of the family: Transfer RNA (tRNA) molecules are approximately 80 nucleotides in length. Their secondary structure includes four short double-helical elements and three loops (D, anti-codon, and T loops). The record is from Rfam by way of RNAcentral. Lineage: Eukaryota; Metazoa; Arthropoda; Insecta; Diptera; Culicidae.